CCUACGGGAGGCAGCAGUAGGGAAUCUUCCACAAUGGGCGAAAGCCUGAUGGAGCAACGCCGCGUGGGUGAAGAAGGUCUUCGGAUCGUAAAACCCUGUUGUUAGAGAAGAAAGUGCGUGAGAGUAACUGUUCACGUGUCGACGGUAUCUAACCAGAAAGCCACGGCUAACUACGUGCCAGCAGCCGCGGUAAUACGUAGGUGGCAAGCGUUAUCCGGAUUUAUUGGGCGUAAAGGGAACGCAGGCGGUCUUUUAAGUCUGAUGUGAAAGCCUUCGGCUUAACCGGAGUAGUGCAUUGGAAACUGGGAGACUUGAGUGCAGAAGAGGAGAGUGGAACUCCAGGUGUAGCGGUGAAAUGCGUAGAUAUAUGGAAGAACACCAGUGGCGAAAGCGGCUCUCUGGUCUGUAACUGACGCUGAGGUUCGAAAGCGUGGGUAGCAAACAGGAUUAGAUACCCCAGUAGUC
RNAcentral lists this ribosomal RNA (465 nucleotides) under uncultured bacterium. Its description in RNAcentral is "partial 16S ribosomal RNA". It matches the Rfam family "Bacterial small subunit ribosomal RNA", at positions 338 to 795 of the family's 1533-position model. The record is from RNAcentral.